UUACUGACUUCUUCGGAAAGAUUUAAAGCGGAUUAGUGGCGGACGGGUGAGUAACGCGUGAGUAACCUGCCUUACACAAGGGGAUAGCCGUUGGAAACGACGAAUAAUACCCUAUGAAACUAUCACUUCGCAUGAAGCGAUAGUCAAAGUGUUAGCGGUGUAAGAUGGACUUGCGUCUGAUUAGCUAGUUGGUGAGAAAAAAGCCCACCAAGGCAACGAUCAGUAGCCGGCUUGAGAGAGUGUACGGCCACAUUGGGACUGAGACACGGCCCAGACUCCUACGGGAGGCAGCAGUGGGGAAUUUUGCACAAUAGGGGAAACCCUGAUGCAGCGACGCCGCGUGAUUUAGAAGGCCUUCGGGUUGUAAAAAUCUUUUGUAUAGGAAGAAAAUGACAGUACUAUACGAAUAAGGUCCGGCUAAUUACGUGCCAGCAGCCGCGGUAAUACGUAAGGACCGAGCGUUGUCCGGAAUCAUUGGGCGUAAAGGGUACGUAGGCGGGUCAUUAAGUUAGAAGUCAAAGGCUAUAGCUCAAUUAUAGUAAGCUUCUAAAACUGGCGACCUUGAGUAAUGGAAGGGAAAGUGGAAUUCCUAGUGUAGCGGUGGAAUGCGCAGAUAUUAGGAGGAAUACCGGUGGCGAAGGCGACUUUCUGGCCAUUAA
Molecule: ribosomal RNA, 659 nt
Filed under: uncultured Eubacteriales bacterium
Lineage: Bacteria; Bacillati; Bacillota; Clostridia; Eubacteriales
Description: bacterial SSU rRNA
Rfam family: Bacterial small subunit ribosomal RNA
Source: RNAcentral